RNAcentral lists this long non-coding RNA (1001 nucleotides) under Panax ginseng (ginseng). RNAcentral describes it as "long non-coding RNA (PGIN_LNC013207)". The record is from RNAcentral. Lineage: Eukaryota; Viridiplantae; Streptophyta; Magnoliopsida; Apiales; Araliaceae.
UUCAUGCGAACAUUUUCAUCCAUUCUACUAUUCGAAAAUCUUUAUUCGUCAUAUUCCUCCAUAUCCCCUUCUUAAAGGAUUUGUUUAUAACUGCUUUAUAACCCAUUCCCUUCUAAAGAACUUCAUUCUUGCUAAACUCAACUGUCAGAAUAGAAAUUCUCCACAACUGUUCAAUAAAUGUGAAGCAAUGAGAAUAAUUCACGCAUUCAAAUGAUUCACUUAAGAUGAUCUUUCACAAAAUUUAUUUGAAAAGGUUUUAACAAAAGUUAAUCUGCAAACCGUCUUGUUUAUCUUGCUUAUCUUGCCCGUGUCCAUCUUGCCCGUGGACACGUACGUAGGUGAUCGGCCUACCAUAUAUGACCUUUUGUUAUUUCUUGCUGGAACGACAUUCGCGUUUAUAUGGUGUAUUAAAAUUUUCCCCAAUUCAGGUAUAUUCUAGAGUCCAUACUAAAUCAAUUUAGUCAGACAAUUCAAAAGCUUAAUAUUAACAAUGAAAUUUCUAUAUCUGGCCGAUUCAAAUGGUUUUGAUACUGCUUUAGUUUUUUUAAUAUAUUGAAAAUCAUUUUAUGACGCAUAGUACAUCACUAUUUUUAACAGCCCGUUGAGAAUGCCGUUGUUUUAUAAUUUCAUCACGCUACAUCCUGCCAUAGUGGAAUGACAGUCCAUAGAUCACAUCCAACACUAGGUGACACUACAUUAAUGACUUCAUCAUUUGUCACAUUUACAUCAUAUUAAUGAUGUAGUGAUGACUAUAAAAAUAUAUUUUGAAAAUUUCAAAUUUUGUCUAGUUGAAACAAGUAGCAUAAACAUAAGAGAAGCGAACUUUUUAAAACUUAUUAGUUAAAAAAUGUGACCCAAUAUUUAUAUAUAUACAUUUUUCUUUAAAACAACAGAACAAUUAUCUGCACGAUGCUAACAAACUUCGAAAUCUAGCAUAACUAGAAGACUUGAGAAUAUCCAUGUCUUCCUUCAUUAGCUUCAACUUUCUCCAUAGCUCCAUC